RNA transcript from Homo sapiens (human), 10089 nucleotides. It is a transcript of the gene named phosphatase and actin regulator 2, with no coding region annotated. Lineage: Eukaryota; Metazoa; Chordata; Mammalia; Primates; Hominidae. The transcript is spliced from 14 exons. The record is from RefSeq and is marked validated.
AUCCGCUGGGCAGGAUCCGCCGCGCCGGCUGCGGCCGGCCGGGCUGGGAGACCCGCGCGGGGUAGAAGGUGAGGGGACCCGGCGGGCCGCUCGGCACAGGCCGGGACAUGAACGCCUGGAAGUCUGGCUGGGAGCGGACCCAUGAUCGAAGGACCAAAGGAGCCGCUUGAUCGCUGGACCUGGCCCUGCGACCCCAGUCAUGGGCCAGACCUCGGUGUCCACGCUGUCCCCGCAGCCCGGCAGCGUUGACGGACUGGACAAAGCUUCUAUAGCAAACUCAGAUGGCCCCACAGCAGGUUCCCAAACACCUCCCUUCAAAAGAAAGGGGAAACUAUCCACCAUUGGUAAAAUCUUUAAGCCUUGGAAAUGGAGGAAAAAGAAGACCAGCGACAAAUUUAGAGAAACCUCGGCAGUAUUAGAAAGGAAGAUAUCCACACGACAAAGUAGAGAGGAGCUGAUAAGAAGGGGAGUGCUUAAGGAAUUGCCUGAUCAAGAUGGAGAUGUAACAGUUAACUUUGAAAAUUCAAACGGGCACAUGAUACCCAUCGGAGAGGAAUCUACCCGAGAGGAAAAUGUAGUAAAGUCUGAAGAAGGUAAUGGCUCUGUAUCUGAAAAAACACCACCUCUGGAGGAACAGGCAGAAGAUAAGAAAGAGAACACUGAAAACCACUCUGAAACACCGGCAGCUCCUGCUCUACCUCCUUCUGCUCCUCCUAAGCCUAGACCCAAACCUAAACCCAAAAAAUCACCUGUGCCUCCGAAAGGGGCCACUGCUGGGGCCAGCCACAAAGGUGAUGAAGUGCCUCCCAUUAAAAAAAAUACCAAGGCUCCUGGUAAGCAGGCCCCCGUCCCUCCACCCAAGCCAGCAAGCCGAAACACGACCCGAGAGGCUGCUGGCUCCUCUCAUUCAAAAAAAACAACUGGCUCUAAAGCAUCAGCUUCGCCAUCCACUUCAUCCACCUCAUCUCGUCCCAAAGCUUCAAAGGAGACAGUUUCUAGCAAAGCAGGGACAGUGGGGACCACCAAGGGCAAGAGAAAAACUGACAAGCAGCCAAUAACUUCUCACCUGUCCUCAGACACAACAACUUCUGGCACAUCCGACCUGAAAGGAGAGCCUGCAGAGACCAGAGUGGAGAGUUUCAAACUCGAACAGACUGUCCCUGGAGCUGAGGAGCAGAACACAGGCAAAUUCAAGUCCAUGGUCCCUCCACCCCCUGUGGCUCCAGCACCUUCUCCUCUGGCCCCCCCUCUCCCUCUUGAGGAUCAGUGCAUUACUGCCUCAGACACUCCAGUUGUCCUCGUCAGCGUUGGAGCUGACCUGCCCGUCUCUGCCUUAGACCCAAGUCAGCUUCUUUGGGCUGAAGAGCCGACGAACAGAACCACUCUCUACUCAGGCACUGGCUUAAGUGUUAACAGAGAAAAUGCAAAAUGUUUCACAACCAAAGAGGAGCUGGGGAAGACAGUGCCUCAGCUACUGACUCCUGGGCUGAUGGGCGAAUCUUCAGAAUCCUUUAGUGCCUCAGAAGAUGAAGGCCACAGGGAAUACCAAGCCAAUGACUCUGACUCGGACGGGCCUAUCUUGUACACCGAUGAUGAGGACGAAGACGAAGAUGAGGAUGGCAGUGGAGAAAGUGCUUUGGCAAGUAAAAUACGCCGGAGGGAUACUCUUGCUAUCAAACUUGGCAACAGACCAUCUAAGAAAGAACUAGAGGACAAAAACAUCUUGCAGCGUACAUCUGAAGAAGAGAGGCAGGAAAUCCGACAACAAAUUGGAACCAAGUUAGUCAGGAGGCUGAGCCAGAGGCCCACAACUGAAGAAUUAGAGCAAAGAAACAUCCUAAAACAAAAGAAUGAAGAAGAGGAACAAGAAGCAAAAAUGGAACUUAAACGCAGACUCAGCAGAAAGCUCAGCCUGAGACCCACAGUGGCAGAGCUACAAGCUCGAAGGAUCCUGCGAUUUAACGAGUAUGUAGAAGUCACGGAUUCUCCUGACUAUGACCGCCGAGCAGACAAGCCCUGGGCCAGGUUAACACCUGCAGACAAGGAAGCUUCAUUAUUUAAAAUACCUGCUAUGCAUCAAGCAUAUACUGGAGAUACAGAUUCAGAAAUCCUUAGCUCAUAAGUAGAAAUGAAAAGUAAGAAGGAAUAAGAUCACAAAGGAAGAAUGUUCAGAACAAGAAUAGAAGAGAAGGAGGCUGAGAAAAGCACUCCAGGGAUGUUUUAGGAAGAAGCAGCAGAAGAAUAUUGAGAAGAAAUGUCCGUGAAGUGGGGAAAGAGGAGAAGCUGGUAGCACAGCAGCUUGGAAGGACUGUGUCAGGGAGGACGGACGGCCACAUGUGUGCAGUGACAUGGUGAGAGGGAGCAUUUUGGUGGCCUGAUGGGUGGAAGCCUGUGGUGGAGACAACGAGGAUCAAACACAAUCCUGAGAAUUUGGGCUCUGAAGUAUGAUGAGGCAGUUGUUCAACGUAUGGCUGGUGAUUGUGAAGGUCAAUAAGCUUGGGCAGCAAUAAGGAAAGAACUAAAUGAAUUUAAAAGCACAGAAAUGGAAGUUCAUGAAGAGAGUCGACAGUUUACAAGGUUUCAUCGUCCAUAACGAAGAGUGAGACUAUUUGGAAACAGAGACUGAUCAUCUUUGGGGGAAGCCCUGCUUCCUGAAAACCUGAUAUUGCACUGGGAUUUGAAUGUGUGUGUUUCCGUUUAACUUGUGGUGAAGGAAGUGUGUGACUCAGCUUGGCUGGGAAGUGCUCCUCACCUGUGUGGCCCAGAUGGCUCCAACAAGCAAAAGGAAGGAUGCAGUGACUCUUGCUGCCCAGAAUGCACAGCGAUGGUAAGAGACACCGUGGAUAUUCUUCAUCAGAAGCUUUAAUCAAAGAAGAUGAGCAGAAGACAAUCACUGGCUCCCUGUUACCAGAAAGCCAAAUUUUAUAAUGCGGGUGAAAGAAAAAUAUAGAUUAAAAUUGCUGGGCACUGAAAAGGGGUGGGAGUUGGAAAUCAGAAAGAAAGAGAAAUAUUUCAUUAUGUUAAUGAAGAAAAGAGAAAAUUGAAGCAUAAAUGUAUUUUUGAAGUAGUUAUUCGGUAGCUGAGAACUUAUUAAGGGAUUUAGGAAUUUAACCUCCUGAUGUGGAUUCCUCAAAGACUUGAUCGGAGAAUACUCUUGUUUCACCAUUAUGUUGGUACAGUAUAGUACCAUUAUUUUAUGUUGUGCCAGUGAAUCCAGUUGCCAGAAAUAAGUCUGAAUGUUUUCAUGCAUCUUUUUCUUAAAUGCAAGAGCUUCUACUGACUCUUAACAAGCAUGCUUACCCAAAUUUUGUUGCAUGCUUUUAAGUAGCAUUAGCUAUGCACACUUGACAUUUUUAAAUAUCCCUUUCCUAGUGUACCAGCCUUCACAGGAUAAGAGGACUGGGAAUAAAGUCAGAUGUAAUGUGACCCUAGAAAACUGUAGCAAGCUUCAGAAAUAAAUCUUUUGAUCUUUCCCUAUCUUGAUUAGAUCCAAAGUCAAAGCAACCAUACUUCACCUAGAGAAGACAGUAUUGGCAAUCAUGACACCUGUAAUAAAAACUUGAAUCCAAAGUCAAAACUUAAGCAAGAUACAAAUGUGCUGCCUGCAGUUAGUCCUGCAUGGGAAUAAGGACUAGUUAUUUUUUUAGUGCUGCAUUUUUUUAAAGUUGGAUUGCUGCUAUUUAAAAAAAAAAAAAGGACACAGAUCAAAAAAACACCCAAAGGCUUAACAGAACAUGGAAAGUUCCCACUAAGUUGUGUGUGAGGAAAUCCUCAUCUUGUAUUUUAAGAAUCUGCAGAUGGCAUCCAUAGAUACAGUACAGUAUUUACUGUCAAUGCAAAAGAAUCAGUGAGGUUAAAGUAGUGGAAGUUUUCCCUAUGAGCCUACAGUCUGUAUUGUUUACAUUAAGAAACUCUCUAUUAUUGUGUUGCUAUUUUCCAUGGAGUCACAGGCACACUAUGACUUCUGCUCCCAAAUACAUAUGACCAUAUGUAAAUACCACCUUGCAUUUCAUUGUUCUUCACAAGUGCUUUGUGCCCCUUUAAUUAAAAACACAUGAAAUGAAUAACAAAACAAGACCCAAAUAGAGUUUAUUUUAUUCUCAGAGUUUGGACUACAAUUUUCUAAGAUGUUUCUGGUUCAAGACUGUCAUUUUCUAUUUCAACCGAAAAGUAAGCAUUUAACCCGGUGAAUAAAUGUAGAUCCUGCCAUUCAUUGGUAUUUUAAAGAACCACUUGAAAUCGGAUCAUUUUAUUUAAAAAUAAAAAAUGUUAAUGCCAGUUGGCCUACUAUAAAAAGCCAGGACCAUGUUAGAAUUAGGAAAAGUAACCAGCAUUACUGCACCUCUUGUUAGACUCUGUGCAUUAAUAAAACACACCUAGAGUCUGUUGUCAUUUCACUAAUAGGAUAAGACAAAUUUUUUGCUUUGAAAAAAUUUUUCUGCAUGCCCAGGUGUCUGUCUCUGGCUGAGGUUUUGUCUAUUUUACAGUGUUUCAAUCCAGCCAUAAAAAUUAACUUGUGAUUUUUUUUUUCCCAAAGUCAUGCUUUUCCUUAAUUAUAUUUUUAUUUUAUUAUUUUAGUGUCUUGAGAAAAAUACCAAGAGAUAUAAUGUUUCUUUUAAUUGUCUAUGCUUAAUCAUCUUUAAACACUUUUUAAAUUUCUAACCACAAGACCUCUCUAUAAUGGUAAAUGUAAGACAUCACCAUUUUAUCACUCAAAGUAUGUUAUUGAAAGUUUCUAUUUGGUUGAUAAAAGGAACAAUUUUUUCCCACUUUUGAUGCCUGUGAUGCAAUUUUUUAUUGCCUACAAUGAGAUACACUUAGUACAAAAAAUGAAAAUCUGGUAUUUCAAAAUUGCAUUUCUUGUAUAAUAGGUCAGAUUUAUUAACUACUCAUACUUUUUCUUUACACUAAUCGAUACAUUUAGAAAAAAUUUUCUAAGUUAGAGACAAGUUUAAAAGUAAAAAAAAAAAAAAAUUAGCCACUGCUAGUCUACUGUUUAGGUAAUCGGAAUCACCAAUUAUUUUAUUAGAAUGAUGGCUUGAGUAAAAAGCUGUGGAAAGAAUUAAAGGAUUAUGAGCUAAGCUGUAUUUUGCAGAAUAUGGUUCUAUUUUAGUAGAGCAGAGAUGAGACAUAUCCCCACCGGCCACCCAGCCAGAGGUCUCCUACCUGGGGGCCCUAAAGGGAUGCAGAGGUCUGGCCCACCCUCCGUGCAUAGGCACCUCUGUCCACCACCAGCGUUUCAGCAAUCCAACCAGUAAGCAUAUGCUGUAUAGGAAAAAUAAAAGUGUGUGGGAAUUGGAUUUCUUUUGUUGUAACACAAUUCCAGGUUUUUGGCUAUUUAAAGUUUGACAUUAGGCUGACAUCGAGGAAGUAAGUGGGUUUUCCUGAGUUCCCAAGAUAUGAUUAAGGAAGAAAACAAACCCAUCUCCAGGAAGAUCCCAGGCAGGAAAGAACUAGACAGAUGUAGAAACCAAAGUGACCAUUUUAGUUUUUUUAUUGGAGAAUAAAACAUUAAUAUUAGGGUAUUAAGAAGAUGCUCAGCAAGCUUGAUCAGAAUCUUCAUGGUCAUUACCAAUCAGUCUGACAAAAUAGUUCUCUGGUAGUCAGCAUUCAUUUAAGGCAGCUUGCCUGAUAAUUUCCUGUGUUAUGUGAAGUGUCUUGCACUUUCACAUGUUAGCUAUAAUUCCUUAAAUUACUUAACUGAAAUCUGUAAUAGAGAACCAUUUUGGCAUUUGAACAGCUAUUUUACAUGGAGAAAAAGCAAACACAUCUGUUUGCUUUACCCAGAAAAACUGACUUUCUGGUUUCAUCUUCAUAUUGUUUAGUAGCAUAAUGAGAGUAGUCCUUUAUCUUUCUCUAAUGUUAGUAAAUAUAUUCUGUUAGUAGGAAGUUCUGAAAUUGAAGGGAAAAUAUAUUUAAGGAAAUAAAGGAAUUCAAUACACCCUUCAAAAGUCACCAAAUACUGAAAAUAAGAGAUGAGUCCUUAAAACCUGAGUCAAAAAAGGUCCAGUUUUACAGCCUGCAAUUAAUUCAGGGCUGCGUUGGCAUUAAAAAAGAAAAUAUAUAUAUAUAUAUAUAUAUAUAUAUAUAUAUAUAUAUAUAUGUAUAUUAUAUAUACAGUAGCUUACACUUAAAAGAGGAAAAAUUUGCAUUAACAUUGCAUAUUCUGAUAUGUACCAUAUUAACACAUAACAGGCAUUUUAUUUAUGCUUCAUAGAAUCAGACAGACACAACUUUCAAAAAUCUUACUGUAUUCACAAUAGAAAAGGGUAGUCUUGUCUACCACAGAGGAGUAUGUCCACACUUAAUAAUGAAAACUUUCUUCCUUUCCUGCCCAAAAAUUUCUUCAGUCUGUUAUUAUUUUUAAGUGCCCCUUGCUGCAAAUUUCAAACAGAGCAAGAAAUCUUCCUCAGAGUAGGUGGUAUGAAAUUAAACUAGUACAAUAUAUAUGAAUUCAUGUCAUUUACCCCUGAGUAUGGUAGAAUUGUUAAAGCAUUCUUAAAUUCCAAUUAUAUGAAGCCUAUCAUUACUAGGAAAAGUAUAUUCUUUGGGAUAAGAAUUAAUUUCUUCACACUAUUAGAGCAUGUUGUGAGUAGUAAGGAACUACUUAGAUGCAAUUUAUUUACAGAAUUGUCCCUUGACCUCUUGAAAUGGCUAGAUCUUUCACUACUGUGUAGGUAGUCUCUACUUACUGGUAGGAUAGAUUACAUUGCUUUACUGGACAAAGCAGAAUGAACUUAUAUAACUAAAAUAUGUCCUAUAUUGGCUGGGUGCGGUGGCUUACACCUGUAAUACCAGCACUUUGGGAGGCCAAGGUGGGUGGAUCAGUUGAGGUCAGGAGUUCGAGACCAGCCUGGCCAACAUGGUGAAACCCUGUCUCUACUGAAAAUACAAAAAAAAAAAAGUAUCUGGGCAUGGUGGCUUGUGCCUGUAAUCCCAGCUACUUGGGAGGCUGAGGCAGGGAAAUCGCUUAAACCCGGGAGGUGGAGGUUGCAGUGGGCCCAGAUCGUGCCACUCCACUCCAGCCUGGGAGACAGAGCAAGACUCCAUCUCAAAAUAAUAAUAAUAGUAAUAAUGAAUAAAAUAAAAUAAAAUAUGUCCUCCAGGGAAAAGCAAUGACAGAGUAAUCACCAAAUUAAUAGGAACAUCUUUCUAGAGAAAGUACAUGCCCAGUUAGUUCAAACCCAGGUUUCAAAGAAGUAGCACUGGGCUCUACUGUAAAGGCAGGCAGUGACCAAGAGGUGGUGGGGAGAGAGGUAGAGUACCCUCAAAUCAUUCCCAUUUUCACUUCCAAUUUCCCUUUUGUAAUCAUUAAGCUUAAGCUAUGUAUGGAAAUGCAAAGCACCAUUAGCAUUUCUAGAAAGCAGCUGGAACCUUACCCACCAAUGCUUUUUUGAAGACAGUAUCAUCCCAAAUUUAAAAAUCCUAUUGUAUAUGUUGUAAAAUUUCUGGCAAAGAAAUGGAGGAUCCUGUGGCAGCUAUUCCCACCUAAAGCCAACCCUAUAAGGAUGGGUCAUUUUUUAGCCAUGCUAGGAUUUACUGCACACACAAAAAAUGUCAUUUAGCUUGUCACAUUGCUAGCACAGCUGCACAUAUGAGCAAAGCACUGUUGGUCUGUGUUUCUCAGUGGGGGUACUCUUGGCAUUUGGAGCUGGAUAGGUCUUUGCUGUACAGAAUCAUCCCAUGCAUUGCCAGAUGUUUAAUAUCCCAGGCCCCUGCUGACUAAAUGUCAGUAGCAUUCUCAGUCAUUGUAAACACCAAGAAUAAAAAGCAUUCCCCCAGGUUCAAAUGCCCUCCCUGGGAGGUUGGUAUCACCUCCCCUGAAUGCCACUGUCUACUGCAUUUUGAGGACACAGGGAGAAAAAGUGCCUAUCCUCAAACAUUGUCUCUGCUGCCUUGCAUUUCUUUGGGCCCUGAAUGGUUUUUCUCCCUUCAUUUUUCGAGCCUUUCUCUCAGUGCAGCUGUUCUUCAGGGAGGAGGUUACUGGGCAGCCUUGGCCAUUCAGUGGGCAUGGGGACUUGGCCUAGUCCCUAUAUAUAUAUACUUAAAGUCCCUAUAUAUACUUAAAGGAGAGAUCAUACAUGAAGAAAGCUUUUUUUUUUUUUUUUUUUUUUGCCUUACAACUUUUCUUUAGAACCACAUUAUUGGUCAUAAUCCUUGUUACUGUCAUGAGGAUUGUUGCAUGGGUUAAACACAAACACAGACUAGCAAUGCACUUGAACAAACCUGGUGGUCUUUGGAAAUAAAUCACCAUUAGAUUUCACCUGGUUAUGCUGCAUCCCAUAAGUUCCAAAUGAAUCACCUGCUUAUCCUAUUAACGAAGCAUUUAAUUCACACACAAAUGCUUGAAUUUCCCCUGUAUAAAUGUAGUCAUGCGAUUCAACUUUUCUAAUAAGAUUUGUGAAUGCUGCAUCAUGAUGAAAAUGUGGAUUAACUGUGGGUUGCAUGCCUGUUGUUCAUACUUCAGUGAUGGUCACACACAAAACAAGAUGAGUUUUACUUAGGUGAAACAUUAUUAAACUGUACUAACAAUACAGAAACAUAUUCUCUUUGUCGCUUUUUAUCACCAAAACUGAAUGGCAAAUAUGUCUUGACAUUACUUGGAUGAACUGUGGCUAGCAAAAUGGAAUUAACUUAGCCACUAUAAUUUUUUAAAACAUUAAAGUUUCUAAAUUGUUUUUGGGGCCGAGUAACGCAGAGUCAAUAAAGGUGGUUAUAUUGUAAGCUUUUAGAUGGUGCUUAAGAAUUCUUAUCUUUUUAAAUAGCAGUAUUUUUUUUUUAAGAAUAAAUUGUAAGGAGCAAAUAAGGCAGAAUGCCACUCUACCCUCAGGUCAAUUUUAUGGUAUAUGAAAAUGCCAGUAAUAUUUGUGCCACUUGCCAACUCGGGGGAGGAGGGGCUUUUCCCUUACUGGAUACUUUUGUUAUAGUUUGACUAUGUCAUUAUGUUGUUUAGAGAGCCUCCACAAUGAGAAGUUGCCACUGCAGGGCUAACUCGCCUUCAGAAAUAAUCAGAAUGAUUCAAGGGUCAAACCACUUUCAUCCCUUAAAAUAUAGGGACUAAUAUUUCUUUUUCUUUUUUUUAAAAAAAACAUUUCUUCUGUGGCUUAGAAAUGUGCCAGUGUGUUCAAAACAUUUACACCAAUUUCACCAGAUUUAGGACCUAUUAAAAAUUCAAACAAGUUUCUUUUUUUUUUUUUUUUUUCUGUGUAACAGGGAUUUUUAAAUAACGGACUAUAUGCAUUCUUUUGUUAUUUCACACUUCAGUUAAAGUGAUAACAAUGGUAAACUGUGAUCAUUAUCAGACUGACUGAAUGCUUUCUGAUUUCCAGUGAGUGAUCUAGUUCUACGUAUUACACAGGUGUAAUAUCUGUGAGUGUAAAUAACUGGAACUGUACACUGAUUAACAUGACAGUUUCUCUUUUGUUGUUCUUAUCUGUACUGUAUUAUAGUAUGUGGGUAUAAAUAUCUACAAGUAUACACACAUAUGUACUUGUAUUCCACUAUUGUAACCUGAAAGAAAGACUAUGUAUUCCCUUUUUUAAUUCCGUACUGGUAUUUGUGUUAUUUAAAAAGCAAAAUUCUGCUCUAUUUAGUUGUAUAAUAUUAGAGGAUACUUUGCUGUGCACAAUUCCAAGUGCCUUAGAACAUUGUUUAGCUUUCCUAAGUAUAUAUAAAUGCAUAUAUGUAUAAAAUUGGGAAAAGUUACCUCAAUAAAAUCAUUGGGAAAUCCCCAGUUUUAGUUUGUUCCAGUUUCUCUUAUAUUUGGAUAGUGCUCAGCCUUUUUAAAUGAAAAAAGAAAAAAGAGUAAGACAACUUCCCUAAUUGCCUGUUAUUUCAGCUUCACCUAAGUUUUUAACACCUCUUUGUAUGUAAGGUCUUGAGACAUGUAAGGCCUGGUACUUUUUAUUUAAAAUGUCUGUCUAAAGAAUUACUGCUCUUAAAAGAAACUUCCAGUAUUUUUUUUAACUUGCUAUCUUUUUAUGUCUGAGGUAUUUGAUAUUGAUGUUUUUAUUGCCAUUAUUAUAUGUAAACAUAAAAGAUAGUCCAUUUAGAGUUUAUAAUAUAGAAAAUAAACAGACUUCCUCAUUA